RNAcentral lists this ribosomal RNA (120 nucleotides) under Helianthus annuus (common sunflower). Lineage: Eukaryota; Viridiplantae; Streptophyta; Magnoliopsida; Asterales; Asteraceae. The record is from RNAcentral. RNAcentral also lists the same sequence under 1 other name.
GGUUGCGAUCAUACCAGCACUAAUGCACCGGAUCCCAUCAGAACUCCGCAGGUAAGCGUGCUUGGGCGAGAGUAGUACUAGGAUGGGUGACCCCCUGGGAAGUCCUCGUGUUGCAACCCC